UACGAAGGGGGCUAGCGUUGCUCGGAAUCACUGGGCGUAAAGGGUGCGUAGGCGGGUCUUUAAGUCAGGGGUGAAAUCCUGGAGCUCAACUCCAGAACUGCCUUUGAUACUGAGAUCUUGAGUUCGGGAGAGGUGAGUGGAACUGCGAGUGUAGAGGUGAAAUUCGUAGAUAUUCGCAAGAACACCAGUGGCGAAGGCGGCUCACUGGCCCGAUACUGACGCUGAGGCACGAAAGCCAGGGGAGCGAACGGG
RNAcentral lists this ribosomal RNA (252 nucleotides) under uncultured bacterium. RNAcentral describes it as "partial 16S ribosomal RNA". It matches the Rfam family "Bacterial small subunit ribosomal RNA", at positions 524 to 776 of the family's 1533-position model. The record is from RNAcentral.